UACGAAGGGGGCUAGCGUUGCUCGGAAUCACUGGGCGUAAAGCGCACGUAGGCGGAUCUUUAAGUCAGGGGUGAAAUCCUGGAGCUCAACUCCAGAACUGCCUUUGAUACUGGGGAUCUCGAGUCCGGGAGAGGUGAGUGGAACUCCGAGUGUAGAGGUGAAAUUCGUAGAUAUUCGGAAGAACACCAGUGGCGAAGGCGACUUACUGGACACAUAUUGACGCUGAGGUGCGAAAGCGUGGGGAGCAAACAGG
This 253-nucleotide ribosomal RNA is filed under the name uncultured bacterium. RNAcentral describes it as "partial 16S ribosomal RNA". It matches the Rfam family "Bacterial small subunit ribosomal RNA", at positions 524 to 776 of the family's 1533-position model. The record is from RNAcentral.